CCUUGCCCUCCCCUGACUGGUUUUAUAGAUUAUACUAAACAUGGUGUUCUCAGUGCUUAGUUCCUCAAAUGGCUGUGUUCUCUGCAUGGGCAAGGACACGGUUAACUUGGGAGUUUUAUCCCAGUGAAAGUAUGUACUUGAAUAUCUGCGUGUUCUGUUUACUGUGAAAGAACAGUCAUAAAGAACGAAGGAAAUCUUGCCUUUGGCACAUAAAGCCUAUCCAAGGAGGCUGGAGCUAUGGAGGGAAAGCCAGAAGAGCAUUUGCAGACUGGCUGAGGCACUUUGCCAUCUUGCACCCACAGACACACCCAGGAUCAAUACUUUGCAUCCUUCAAUUGAAUCAAGUUGACAGUAUUAACCAUGACACAUGCCCAGAAAAGAGGAGAACUUUGCUGCUUUCCACCCACAGAGUGUGCGUAGGAUGUGCCCAGUGUCCCCAGCUCUGCACCAGCUGCUUCCCAAGAAGACCUGGCUGAGCUGCAAUGUCAGAGUCUGACACUGAUGGAGCUACAUUUCAGAAGUGAACAACUUAGAAGACGGUGUGCAUCCACUCUUCUUCCUCAUGGUCCUGUUCCAGGGCUGUGAAGCAAGCCAAUAGCCUUUGGAGAUGUAACCCCAGGGGCCAGUUAUAUAUCUGCAGGACAUGCUUUAUUCUGCAGUGGACAAAAUCUAUAUUGAGGGUCCCUUAGGUCUUUGUUGCUUACUGCAAUACAGUUUACAAAAAUCCUUGUAUCUUUGGGGGUAGGAGGUGCUUUCCCAGAUUAAUAAAAUUGUCUAUCUCUCUCUCUUUUUUUUUUUUUUGAGAACAGGCUCGCUCUGUUGCCCAGGCUGGAGUGCAGUGGCAUGGUCUUGGCUCACUGCAACCUCCACCUCCCAGGUUGAAGCAAUUCUCCUACCUCAGCCUCCUGAGUAGCUGGGACUAUAGGCACACAC
RNAcentral lists this long non-coding RNA (933 nucleotides) under Homo sapiens (human). RNAcentral's name for it is "HSALNT0137471". The record is from RNAcentral. Lineage: Eukaryota; Metazoa; Chordata; Mammalia; Primates; Hominidae.